This 1109-nucleotide ribosomal RNA is filed under the name Escherichia coli. RNAcentral's name for it is "partial 23S ribosomal RNA". It matches the Rfam family "Bacterial large subunit ribosomal RNA", at positions 466 to 1578 of the family's 2925-position model. Lineage: Bacteria; Pseudomonadati; Pseudomonadota; Gammaproteobacteria; Enterobacterales; Enterobacteriaceae. The record is from RNAcentral.
CUAAAUACUCCUGACUGACCGAUAGUGAACCAGUACCGUGAGGGAAAGGCGAAAAGAACCCCGGCGAGGGGAGUGAAAAAGAACCUGAAACCGUGUACGUACAAGCAGUGGGAGCACGCUUAGGCGUGUGACUGCGUACCUUUUGUAUAAUGGGUCAGCGACUUAUAUUCUGUAGCAAGGUUAACCGAAUAGGGGAGCCGAAGGGAAACCGAGUCUUAACUGGGCGUUAAGUUGCAGGGUAUAGACCCGAAACCCGGUGAUCUAGCCAUGGGCAGGUUGAAGGUUGGGUAACACUAACUGGAGGACCGAACCGACUAAUGUUGAAAAAUUAGCGGAUGACUUGUGGCUGGGGGUGAAAGGCCAAUCAAACCGGGAGAUAGCUGGUUCUCCCCGAAAGCUAUUUAGGUAGCGCCUCGUGAAUUCAUCUCCGGGGGUAGAGCACUGUUUCGGCAAGGGGGUCAUCCCGACUUACCAACCCGAUGCAAACUGCGAAUACCGGAGAAUGUUAUCACGGGAGACACACGGCGGGUGCUAACGUCCGUCGUGAAGAGGGAAACAACCCAGACCGCCAGCUAAGGUCCCAAAGUCAUGGUUAAGUGGGAAACGAUGUGGGAAGGCCCAGACAGCCAGGAUGUUGGCUUAGAAGCAGCCAUCAUUUAAAGAAAGCGUAAUAGCUCACUGGUCGAGUCGGCCUGCGCGGAAGAUGUAACGGGGCUAAACCAUGCACCGAAGCUGCGGCAGCGACGCUGAUGCGUUGUUGGGUAGGGGAGCGUUCUGUAAGCCUGCGAAGGUGUGCUGUGAGGCAUGCUGGAGGUAUCAGAAGUGCGAAUGCUGACAUAAGUAACGAUAAAGCGGGUGAAAAGCCCGCUCGCCGGAAGACCAAGGGUUCCUGUCCAACGUUAAUCGGGGCAGGGUGAGUCGACCCCUAAGGCGAGGCCGAAAGGCGUAGUCGAUGGGAAACAGGUUAAUAUUCCUGUACUUGGUGUUACUGCGAAGGGGGGACGGAGAAGGCUAUGUUGGCCGGGCGACGGUUGUCCCGGUUUAAGCGUGUAGGCUGGUUUUCCAGGCAAAUCCGGAAAAUCAAGGCUGAGGCGUGAUGACGAGGCACU